RNAcentral lists this ribosomal RNA (484 nucleotides) under uncultured bacterium. Its description in RNAcentral is "partial 16S ribosomal RNA". It matches the Rfam family "Bacterial small subunit ribosomal RNA", at positions 30 to 507 of the family's 1533-position model. The record is from RNAcentral.
AUUGAAUGCUGGCGGCAGGCCUAACACAUGCAAGUCGAGCGGAUGAAGGGAGCUUGCUCCUGGAUUCAGCGGCGGACGGGUGAGUAAUGCCUAGGAAUCUGCCUGGUAGUGGGGGAUAACGUCCGGAAACGGGCGCUAAUACCGCAUACGUCCUGAGGGAGAAAGUGGGGGAUCUUCGGACCUCACGCUAUCAGAUGAGCCUAGGUCGGAUUAGCUAGUUGGUGGGGUAAAGGCCUACCAAGGCGACGAUCCGUAACUGGUCUGAGAGGACGAUCAGUCACACUGGAACUGAGACACGGUCCAGACUCCUACGGGAGGCAGCAGUGGGGAAUAUUGGACAAUGGGCGAAAGCCUGAUCCAGCCAUGCCGCGUGUGUGAAGAAGGUCUUCGGAUUGUAAAGCACUUUAAGUUGGGAGGAAGGGCAGUAAGUUAAUACCUUGCUGUUUUGACGUUACCAACAGAAUAAGCACCGGCUAACUUCGUG